UACAGCCACAUCAUGAUGAAACAGCGGUUCCUGUACAAUCACCGAAGUUAAGCAACGUCAAGCCUGGUCAGUACCUAGACGGUUGACCAUUUGAGAAUACCAGGUGUUGUAA
Acanthosepion pharaonis is the source of this 112-nucleotide non-coding RNA. Lineage: Eukaryota; Metazoa; Mollusca; Cephalopoda; Sepiida; Sepiidae. The record is from the annotation of a GenBank genome assembly.